Molecule: ribosomal RNA, 253 nt
Filed under: uncultured bacterium
Lineage: Bacteria
Description: partial 16S ribosomal RNA
Rfam family: Bacterial small subunit ribosomal RNA
Source: RNAcentral
UACGAAGGGUGCAAACGUUGCUCGGAAUUAUUGGACGUAAAGCGCACGUAGGCGGUAUUGCAAGUCGGAUGUGAAAUCCCUCGGCUUAACCAAGGAAGUGCAUCCGAAACUGCUGUACUUGAGUACGAAAGAGGAUCGCGGAAUUCCCGGUGUAGAGGUGAAAUUCGUAGAUAUCGGGAGGAACACCAGUGGCGAAGGCGGCGAUCUGGGUCGAUACUGACGCUGAGGUGCGAAAGCGUGGGGAGCAAACAGG